CAAAAGCGUAUAUUAAAGUCGUUGCAGUUAAAAAGCUCGUAGUUGAACCUUGGGCUUGGCUGGCCGGUCCAUCUUUUUUGAUGCGUACUGGACCCAGCCGAGCCUUUCCUUCUGGCUAGCCUUUUGGCGAACCAGGACUUUUACUUUGAAAAAAUUAGAGUGUUCAAAGCAGGCCUUUGCUCGAAUAUAUUAGCAUGGAAUAAUAGAAUAGGACGUUAUGGUUCUAUUUUGUUGGUUUCUAGGACCAUCGUAAUGAUUAAUAGGGACGGUCGGGGGUAUCAGUAUUCAGUUGUCAGAGGUGAAAUUCUUGGAUUUACUGAAGACUAACUACUGCGAAAGCAUUUACCAAGGACGUUUUCAUUAA
RNAcentral lists this ribosomal RNA (364 nucleotides) under uncultured eukaryote. RNAcentral describes it as "partial 18S ribosomal RNA". It matches the Rfam family "Eukaryotic small subunit ribosomal RNA", at positions 592 to 976 of the family's 1831-position model. The record is from RNAcentral.